CUUACAUCCUAGAAAUAGUGACUCGAAGCUCAUGACGGACAUAUGUACCGGGCCAUACUUGAUGGAACACAUGCCAAAGCUUCAUAUUACAAUCUUGGCGCUGGGUAUAAUGGCAUAUGGACAUUGCUUUGGAGCAAGCGUAUUUGAUGUUCUAAUGAGGUGUCGUGGUCUAAAAAGGCUGGACCUUGAUUUUCUGCCAAGAAGUCAACUCGGGG
Lolium rigidum is the source of this 215-nucleotide long non-coding RNA. RefSeq lists it as uncharacterized. The transcript is spliced from 2 exons. NCBI's taxonomy places the organism in Eukaryota, Viridiplantae, Streptophyta, Magnoliopsida, Poales, Poaceae. The record is from RefSeq and is a predicted model, not a curated record.